This 1976-nucleotide long non-coding RNA is filed under the name Struthio camelus australis. Its description in RNAcentral is "lncRNA (ENSSCUG00000009023.1)". The record is from RNAcentral. Lineage: Eukaryota; Metazoa; Chordata; Aves; Struthioniformes; Struthionidae.
GUAAUCAGGCCGGAAAUAAAUAAUCUUUGUCCAGCUUUGAGUGCAUCGCUAAUGGGUGAGGAAUACUGUAGUUUUCCGGGAUUUGCAAAGGAAAAGGAGUAAUAAUCUCAAAUGCUCCAAAUGAAGUGAACAAACAAACACAACUCAUUCCAGAUAUUUAACAAGGACGAACAAGGACAGCAAACUUGAAAAGCCAAAGCAACAUAGCAGUCACAAUUUCUGCAGAUAAAAAAGACAGAAUUAGUUGAAAUCUAUAUGUUGAAAAAAAAUUGAAAUAUAAUAUUGACCAAAAAAAAAAAAAAAGCUCUACAUGGUAUGGGUUUGGUGCCUGAUUUCAUGACUUUACACUGAAAUCAAAGCUGUUGCAGCAGCCUCGCUUUAGAACAGUGACUCAAGCUCCUAACAUGCUCCAGAAGGAAACAGGGCUGGACAAUUCGGACCAGGUUUUGUUAUUGCAGUUACCCAAAGACUGCAACUGGUUCACUGGGGCAGAAGACUCUUUCUCUCUUCGGCAAAACUCAUAAAGAGAGCUUGGUUUUUGAAAAGCAGCAAAUCAGAUGUCGAGAAACUGCAAUUCCUAUUAAGAACACUUGACUGUUUACUCAGCAAGAGAACUUCAGGCUCAGGCUGCAUCAAUCUAAAUGCGUUUCAGGACGUCAGUCUUUUGAAAAGUGCAGACUGAAGAAGAGCUGAUGCCAAAAAGAAGGGAUCCUGAAAAAAAGUGAUGUCAGAAAGAAGGGGACUGGGAAAGAAAAAGGUAAAGAUCCUGGCUAGAGGAAAGAUCCUGAAAGUGGGGGAAGAUCCUGAAGAUCGGAGAGCUGUGUGGAGAAGAAUGCUGGGGGAUGUCCAGGGACCUUGGCCAGUUAAUGUCCAAGACUGGCAACUGUUUGCACAGUCCUCAUCUAUCCGUCUCUGCCCUACCAGUCCAAGAGAGCAUCCUGAUUUUCUGAGAGUGUCAUCUGGUACCUCUGGUUGAUGUCUUUGCGUGAAUCUGAGGGAAGAAUGUGCUUGUUCAAAGGAAGACUUUGGCUCUGUCAGAAGCAGACUGCGUGCUAAACAUUUGUUACUCUCUAACAAAGGGGGGCCACUGAUUUGCAGACACAGCUCGCAUUGAUGUCAACAAAAGCUGCACAGAAAGUUCAAGUGUGCAGUGAGGUCCUUUGCCUCUAAUUCAUCUCAGGGCUUGCCUUAUUUUAAUAUACAACUUUGAGCUGAAUGAGAUUGGGAUGGAUUUUUAAAGAAAGAUGCUGGCUACAGAUCCAGGCUGACAAGAGGUGAGAAAAUAUUUCCAGCUCCACGGACAAAUCGAAAAACUGCCUGAACAGACUGCCAGUUCAACUGUUUGUAAAGUGGCCACAGACCAGCGAAUUGCUGCGCGCAACUGAGUGUCAAAUAUUCGCCUGGCGUGUUUUGGCAUCAUUCCAUUUGCUUCAGCGGAGCCAUGCUGAUUUUCAUCAGCUAAAGAUCUGGUUUUAAAGUGCGCAUAACGGUUUUCAAGCCCUGUCCUCAAAGUUCACAGUUUUUCUGUUUUCUCUAAGGUAACAGUUUAAUUUCACUGGGAUGUUCCUACAUUGUUUUUCUUCUUCUUGUAGAAAAUAGACAUGAUGAAAAUUGCAGGGCUGGAGCAAAGAACACUAUGUUAAAGUGUAAUUUCAGAAAAAAAAAAAACACCACAAUUCUGCACUGGGCAGUGCAAACAAAGUUUUACUAAAAUAGACAUCUUACAUACUGAGAAAAAGCAUGAUCUUUUCUGCCUUUAAAAUUUUUUUAUACUUUUUUUUUAUACUUACAGUCAGUGCUUUGCAGAUUGGGGAACAGCAUUCACAGACAGGGUUAUAUUGUUGUUAAACCAAAUUAGGAAAACUGCAUAUGUCCUCAAGAAGGUACACAGCAGACAGAGGGGGAAAAAAGGCAAGCCAGAGUGCAAUGUGUUCUCAAGGUCUUUAGAGAUCACGGUGCAACUUGCUCCUGAGACU